GGGGUUGUAGCUUAGUGGUUAGAGCGUCGGACUCACGACUUGUAGGUCGUCGGUUCGAUUCUCGAUCUCA
This is a non-coding RNA of Macrostomum lignano, 70 nucleotides long. The record is from Rfam. Lineage: Eukaryota; Metazoa; Platyhelminthes; Macrostomidae.